This 225-nucleotide non-coding RNA is filed under the name Staphylococcus aureus subsp. aureus NCTC 8325. RNAcentral's name for it is "Staphylococcus sRNA 35 (srn_0335)". It matches the Rfam family "Staphylococcus sRNA 35 (srn_0335)", at positions 42 to 270 of the family's 270-position model. Rfam says of the family: Other name: Srn_0335, SAOUHSCs258. Northern blot transcript confirmed in exponentially growing and stationary cells in three cultivation media. The record is from Rfam by way of RNAcentral. Lineage: Bacteria; Bacillati; Bacillota; Bacilli; Caryophanales; Staphylococcaceae.
CAGCUUCUGUGUUGGGCCCCACCCCAACUUGCAUUGUCUGUUGAAAUUGGUGAUCCAAUUUCUCUAUGUUGGGGCCCCGCCAACUUGCAUUGUCUGUUGGAAUUGGUGAUCCUAUUUCUCUCUGUUGUGGCCCCACGAGUAUUGAAAAAACUUGUUAUAAGCUUAUUUUCAUUUAGUCAACUACUACCAAUAUAGCACUAGAACUGGAAAUGAUAAUUUAAUAUU